UGGGGAAUAUUGGACAAUGGGCGAAAGCCUGAUCCAGCCAUGCCGCGUGUGUGAAGAAGGUCUUCGGAUUGUAAAGCACUUUAAGUUGGGAGGAAGGGCAGUAAGCGAAUACCUUGCUGUUUUGACGUUACCGACAGAAUAAGCACCGGCUAACUCUGUGCCAGCAGCCGCGGUAAUACAGAGGGUGCAAGCGUUAAUCGGAAUUACUGGGCGUAAAGCGCGCGUAGGUGGUUCGUUAAGUUGAAUGUGAAAGCCCCGGGCUCAACCUGGGAACAGCAUCCAAAACUGGCAAGCUAGAGUAGGGCAGAGGGUGGUGGAAUUUCCUGUGUAGCGGUGAAAUGCGUAAGUAUAGGAAGGAACACCAGUGGCGAAGGCGACCACCUGGGCUCAUACUGACACUGAGGUGCGAAAGCGUGGGGAGCAAACAGG
Molecule: ribosomal RNA, 429 nt
Filed under: Pseudomonadota bacterium
Lineage: Bacteria; Pseudomonadati; Pseudomonadota
Description: Proteobacteria bacterium partial 16S ribosomal RNA
Rfam family: Bacterial small subunit ribosomal RNA
Source: RNAcentral